AGAGUUUGAUCCUGGCUCAGGAUGAACGCUGGCGGCGUGCCUAACACAUGCAAGUCGAGCGGUCUGAUAAAAUGGAUUCCUUCGGGAAGAAGCUUUAGAAAGAUAGCGGCGGACGGGUGAGUAACGCGUGGGUAACCUACCUUGUACAGUGGAAUAACAGUCGGAAACGAUUGCUAAUACCGCAUAACACUAUUUUAAGGCAUCUUAGAAUAGUCAAAGAUUUAUCGGUACAAGAUGGGCCCGCGUCUGAUUAGCUAGUUGGUGGGGUAAAAGCCUACCAAGGCGACGAUCAGUAGCCGGCCUGAGAGGGUGACCGGCCACACUGGAACUGAGACACGGUCCAGACUCCUACGGGAGGCAGCAGUGGGGGAUAUUGCACAAUGGGGGAAACCCUGAUGCAGCGACGCCGCGUGAGCGAUGAAGGCCUUCGGGUCGUAAAGCUCUGUUUCGAGGGAAGAUAAUGACGGUACCUCGGGAGAAAGCCCCGGCUAANUACGUGCCAGCAGCCGCGGUAAUUC
Molecule: ribosomal RNA, 518 nt
Filed under: uncultured Anaerovirgula sp.
Lineage: Bacteria; Bacillati; Bacillota; Clostridia; Peptostreptococcales; Natronincolaceae
Description: bacterial SSU rRNA
Rfam family: Bacterial small subunit ribosomal RNA
Source: RNAcentral